AUUGAACGCUGGCGGCAUGCCUAACACAUGCAAGUCGAACGGUAACAGGUCUUCUGAUGCUGACGAGUGGCGGACGGGCGAGUAAGACACCGGAACGUGCCCAGACGUGGGGGAUAAGGAGGCGAAAGCUAUGCUAAUACCGCAUACGAUCUAAGGUUGUGAGCAGGGGAGCGCAAGGGCUUGCGCGGUUGGUGGGGGCGGUGGGCGUGUAGGUUGUUGGUGGGAUAAGAGCUUACGAAGACGAAGAUCUGUAGCUGGUCUGAGAGGACGAGCGGCCACACUGGGACGGAGACACGGCCCAGAGUCCUACGGGAGGCAGCAGUGGGGAAUGGUGGACAAUGGGCGAGAGCCUGAUCCAGCAAGGCCGCGUGUAGGAUGACGGCCUUGGGGUUGUAAACUGCUUUUGUGCGGAAUGAAAAGGUUCUGGCUAAUACCUAGGGUGCAUGACGGUACCGGAAGAAUAAGCACCGGCUAACUACGUG
RNAcentral lists this ribosomal RNA (482 nucleotides) under uncultured bacterium. RNAcentral's name for it is "partial 16S ribosomal RNA". It matches the Rfam family "Bacterial small subunit ribosomal RNA", at positions 29 to 507 of the family's 1533-position model. The record is from RNAcentral.